Molecule: long non-coding RNA, 2028 nt
Organism: Canis lupus familiaris (dog)
Lineage: Eukaryota; Metazoa; Chordata; Mammalia; Carnivora; Canidae
Exons: 5
Source: RefSeq, a predicted model, not a curated record
AGCAUGAUGAGUGCUCCAUAGACAAGCAGCCCUGCGUGCUCACCCCAAACACAAGACUGUAGCCAUGUGAGGCAUAUCUAGUUCCUUUGUGGUUGCGGAAUGGAACAGCAACUGUCUCAACAGGUCACUUUGACAACCAACGAUGAUUCCCGAGUCAGCGAGACUGGGUUGAGUACAAUACAGAGGCUAAAUAUGUGAGUGCCUGUGGGAACUGGGGGUUUGCAAACGAGCACUCUAAUCUCCAGCCUGGCACAGGGUUCCCUGGUCACCCUCCCUCACUCUGCCAUGAUGAUGACAGGGCGGCUAUGAAGCCUGCAACCAGACAAAAAGCAGAUCAGUCGCCGUCUGGCAGCGUGACUUCAAAGGUUUUCAUUUCCUGCAAACCCCAAGGACUUUCUUCUUACUCCAUCAGGCCUUUCUUGGGACUGCUCUGAAGUAUUCGUCCCUCGAAAUGUCGGAUACUCCUCCAUACCAUUUCUGAAGCCAGAUAUGUUCUAUCCUCAUCUUCAUAAAGAACCACUCAUACUGACGAGGCCACUUCCUCAUAACGGGGUGUCUGCAGAAAUAAAGGAGAGGUCACAAGAGAGCCAUUCUUAUCAGCGGGUGCACCCUCCCCGGGCAGCGAUCCAGACUACUAGCAUCGGCCAGAAGGGGCUGGGACGCUGCAGCUCUGAUGUUGAAUGAUUUCACCCUGUAUUGCGGGGCUGUGCAGAGAAGCUGAGUCAUGGGAAGUGCACGGUGUCUGCUCUCGGUGCGACCACGGACCUUGUGAGCUGAAGCCCCCAAGGACAGAGCCUCACUUUCUUCUUUGGUAAAGUGAGGACAUUAAUUUCUUGCCUGCCUUCUUCACAGAGUUCAAAGCCUCCCAGUCUGUGGUAUUUUGCUAAUACAAAGUUGGUGGGGACUGUACGGGGACUCUGAAAUGGUGAGCACCAAAAGCCUCCUCCUCUGGCUCUCAGGCCACAUUUGUUGCAGAGGUAUCACUAUUUGACUUUUACAUAUCUCCUUUACAUAAUACUAUGUAUCUUUUAAGGCAUCUGACUUGUUUAAUCCUCACCAUAUCCACGGGACGUAGGUAAGGAGCUAACUCAGCAGACCACAGUUGCUCAGGCCCUGCACAUUCCAAAGAAAGACCUGUUUCAGGAGGACUGGCCCUCAGCUGGUUCCUGGAAGAUAACUUCUGAGGCCAUGACAUAUCCUCCUUCAUGAGAGUGUUUCUGUGAGGCCCUGGGCCACACAGGAUCAACUUGACCUCUAUGGGGCCCAGAGACUGAGUAGCUAAGAUGAGUCAUUUGGACACCGUAGUGCCCAUGUGACUGAACUACAAUGAAAACACUGGAUAUUGAGGCUCAGGUGAGCUUCUCUAGUUGGCAACACUUUAUACAUGCUGUCAUGCUUCAUUGCUGGGAGAAUUCAGUGUGUCUCCAUGUAAUUCCGCGGGAAGCGACUCUUGGAAGCUUGGGCCUCCUUACUCUUGGACUUCACCUGUGCAGCUUUUCUUCUGAUGACCUUGACUGUAUCCUUUCACUGCAGUAAAGCAAGAGCUCCUGAGUCUCACAAGUCAUUUCAGCAAAUCAUCAAGCUGUUGGGGGGGGGGGGGGUCGUUUGGGAGUUCCUGACACAGCUGGCCAAGCAGACUCCCAUAGAUCUAUUUCUCCCAGAUGGCAUGUGUCAUAAAAUGGAAGCCUUGAGGCAUGAUUCAUUAAAACUCAUUCUCACCCAUUAAAUUUCAUUAAAACCUUGAGAAAGGUAUAUUUGUUAAGCAAAGCAUAUGUUUUGCUUAUAUUUAAGGAACUUGUUUUCACCUGCCUGGAAGCUUUUCUGUACCACACAUCCUGUUGAGUUGUAACACGGGAAAGAGUGGACAUGCCCACACUUUCAGGUCAAUUGCUUCAUGUGAGAACACUGUGUACCAUUUGAAAGUGUUAUAGUCUGCUCUGUUUAUGACACCACAAAAAAUGCAGUUGCUGAAUUGUGAAUUCUUGUGGGGUUAUGAUGAAAGAAUGGUGGGAAGCAUCCACAUAAUAA